This 250-nucleotide ribosomal RNA is filed under the name uncultured bacterium. RNAcentral's name for it is "partial 16S ribosomal RNA". It matches the Rfam family "Bacterial small subunit ribosomal RNA", at positions 524 to 773 of the family's 1533-position model. The record is from RNAcentral.
UACGGAGGGUGCGAGCGUUAAUCGGAAUUACUGGGCGUAAAGCGCGCGUAGGCGGUGGCGUGAGUCGGAUGUGAAAGCCCCGGGCUCAACCUGGGAAUGGCAUUCGAUACCGCGUCGCUAGAGUUUGGGAGAGGGAAGGGGAAUUCCGGGUGUAGCGGUGAAAUGCGUAGAUAUCCGGAGGAACACCAGUGGCGAAGGCGCCUUCCUGGCCUAAGACUGACGCUGAGGUGCGAAAGCGUGGGGAGCAAAC